ACUUAAAUAGCUUAUGAAAUAGAGCGUGGCAUUGAAGCUGCCAAGGAGAUUAAUUUUAAUCUUUGAGUA
RNAcentral lists this transfer RNA (69 nucleotides) under Togoperla limbata. RNAcentral describes it as "tRNA-Phe". The record is from RNAcentral. Lineage: Eukaryota; Metazoa; Arthropoda; Insecta; Plecoptera; Perlidae.